This 768-nucleotide ribosomal RNA is filed under the name uncultured Actinomycetes bacterium. RNAcentral's name for it is "bacterial SSU rRNA". It matches the Rfam family "Bacterial small subunit ribosomal RNA", at positions 692 to 1461 of the family's 1533-position model. The record is from RNAcentral. Lineage: Bacteria; Bacillati; Actinomycetota; Actinomycetes.
AGAUAUCAGGAGGAACACCGAUGGCGAAGGCAGGUCUCUGGGCCAAUACUGACACUGAGGAGCGAAAGCUUGGGGACCGAACAGGAUUAGAUACCCCUGGUAGUCCACGCCGUAAACGGUGGGCGCUAGUUGUGCGAACCUUCCACGGUUUGUGCGACGCAGCUAACGCAUUAAGCGCCCCGCCUGGGGAGUACGAUCGCAAGAUUAAAACUCAAAGGAAUUGACGGGGCCCCGCACAAGCAGCGGAGCAUGCGGCUUAAUUCGACGCAACGCGAAGAACCUUACCAAGGCUUGACAUAUACAGGAAUAUGGCAGAGAUGUCAUAGCCGCAAGGUCUGUAUACAGGUGGUGCAUGGUUGUCGUCAGCUCGUGUCGUGAGAUGUUGGGUUAAGUCCCGCAACGAGCGCAACCCUCGUUCUGUGUUGCCAGCAUUUAGUUGGGGACUCACAGGAGACUGCCGGGGUUAACUCGGAGGAAGGUGGGGAUGACGUCAAAUCAUCAUGCCCCUUAUGUCUUGGGCUGCACGCAUGCUACAAUGGCUGGUACAAACGGCUGCAAUACCGCAAGGUGGAGCGAGUCCGAGAAAGCCAGUCUCAGUUCGGAUUGGGGUCUGCAACUCGACCCCAUGAAGUCGGAGUUGCUAGUAAUCGUAGAUCAGCAACGCUACGGUGAAUACGUUCCCGGGGCUUGUACACACCGCCCGUCACAUCACGAAAGUCGGUAACACCCAAAGUCAGUGGCCCAACCGCAAGGAGGGAGCUGCCAAAG